This 28-nucleotide small RNA is filed under the name Bombyx mori (domestic silkworm). RNAcentral describes it as "ovarian small RNA-11215". Lineage: Eukaryota; Metazoa; Arthropoda; Insecta; Lepidoptera; Bombycidae. The record is from RNAcentral.
ACCACAUAUUUUGUUUCUACAUCAGACG